UGGCGCAAGGGCGAGGAAUAAAUAGGUAACGUACCCUGUACUUCAGAAUAGCGUCCCGAAAGGGGCGGUAAUACUGGAUGAUGUCAUUUUCCAUAAGGAUAAUGAUCAAAGAUUUAUCGGUAUAGGAGCGGCCUAUUUCCCAUCAGCUUGUUGGUAAGGUAACGGCUUACCAAGGCAACGACGGGUAUCGGGACUGAGAGGUUGACCCGACGCAUCGGAACUGAGACACUGUCCGGACCUCCACGGAGGGCUGCAGUAACGAAUAUUGCACAAUGGGCGAAAGCCUGAUGCAGCAACGCCGCGUGUAGGAUGAAGCUCCUCGGAGUGUAAACUACUGUCAGGGGUCAGAAAGUGCGCUUCGGCGUAUUGAUCAGCCCCAGAGGAAGUCACGGCUAACUUCGUGCCAGCAGCCGCGGUAAUACGAAGGUGGCAAGCGUUGUUCGGAAUUAUUGGGCUUAAAGCGCAAGUAGGCGGAUAUGCAAGUGUUUUGUGAAAUCCCCCGGCUAAACCGGGGAAUCGCUUGGCAAACUGCAUAUCUUGAGUCAAGUAGGGGUACAUGGAACUCUUAGUGGAGCGGUGGAAUGCGUAGAUAUUAAGAGGAACGCCAAUGGUGAAGACAGUGUACUGGGCUUGUACUGACGCUGAGGUGCGAAAGCGUGGGGAGCGAACGGGAUUAGAUACCCCGGUAGUCCACGCUGUAAACGAUGUCUACUAGGUUGUGGAGGUUCUGACACUUUCACGAUCGAAGCAAAAGUGUUAAGUAGACCGCCUGGGGAGUACGGUCGCAAGGCUAAAACUCAAAGGAAUUGACGGGGGCUCACACAAGCGGUGGAGCAUGUGGAUUAAUUCGAAGCAACGCGCAGAACCUUACCUGGGUUUGACAUGUAUGGGUGCCUAUCUGGAAACAGAGUCGGCUGCCCUCGGGUGAAACUUACACAGGUGCUGCAUGGCUGUCGUCAGCUCGUGUCGUGAGAUGUCGGGUUAAG
RNAcentral lists this ribosomal RNA (986 nucleotides) under uncultured organism. RNAcentral describes it as "bacterial SSU rRNA". It matches the Rfam family "Bacterial small subunit ribosomal RNA", at positions 96 to 1084 of the family's 1533-position model. The record is from RNAcentral.